CAACCAAACGCUUAUUGACUGAGAUACGUUACGUUACAACAGAGCGUCUAGUUGAGUGAGACUAGAUUUUAUGUUAUACAAUCGACAAUCGUCGUAGAAGUCUUGAGAGAUGUUGAAAAUAAUAUCCAGCAUGACAAACCGUGCGGUGGCUGUCGUUUGUUUGGGAGUUGUUACGUGGUAUUUCAUGUCUAAAGUUGAUGAUGCAACAGUCGAGAGACGAAAGCAGGAAGGCUAUGCGGUAGACCCAGUAACUGCAAGUUAUAGAAGAAAAUUUAUGAAAAAUACUGACAAGGCACAGGAAACUCCUUGACGAAAGGAAUUGUCUGGCAUCUGUGAUAUCAUACAACAUGUGUAUUGGUGGACUUGAGUUUCUUUAAUCCAGAUACAGUGUUUUAUUUACAGAAAGGAACUCAGGUGUGAUUUGUAUACAUUUGACAUUAUCAUGUUUUCCUGAAAUGGUAAAAUGUGUAGGACCUGAUCAUGAGCUUCAAUUCUUAGAAAAAAUAUCACCUCCUGCAUGACAAUUCAAAUCUUGUCUUCCUCAGGAAGAGACAUGUUAUGGGCUCUUAGUUCAUACUUACUAGUAGUUACCAUCUGGAAGGGUGGAACUUUUAAUUUGUUCCUAAGAAUGCAAAGAGACAUGAAUGUUUGUUUAUCUCUGUAUGUGUAUGGACAAUAUCGUAGAACACAUUUUACAUUUCCUGUUAUGAUAUAUGUGCUCAUGGUGUUUUGAAAUGCUAUGUUAAGAAACUGAAGAGUUCAGUCUUGUCUGUUCUGCACCAAAAUGGCAAAUCGGUUUACCAGUUAACAUAUACAUGUACAUACUGUGUACAAAUUUCAUUUGUAAUGUCACAAUGACUGACCUGAGAGAAGUCUAAGGAAACCUGCUGCAAAUUGCCUUUUAUCCAGCUUUUUUUUUUUUACAUUUUUAAAUUAUUCUCUAUGACCAAAAGGCACAAGUUCAUGAUAUUGGGUUAGUAGCAUGCUAGGGUAAAGGGCUACAAAGAUUGUUCAAAUCAAUGACCUUGACCUACUUUCACAAUUAUGGUUCAAUUGUGUUCCAACAGGCCUAGAGUGAUGAUGUUGGGCAAGAAGCAUGCUGUGAUGAAAUUCUACCAAAGUUGUUAAAAAAUGAUCUUGCCCUAUGUCCAAGGUAAUAAAGGUCAAAUCUGUUAAAAUCUA
This is a long non-coding RNA of Pecten maximus, 1182 nucleotides long. RefSeq lists it as uncharacterized. The transcript has 2 exons. The record is from RefSeq and is a predicted model, not a curated record. Lineage: Eukaryota; Metazoa; Mollusca; Bivalvia; Pectinida; Pectinidae.